This 253-nucleotide ribosomal RNA is filed under the name uncultured bacterium. RNAcentral's name for it is "partial 16S ribosomal RNA". It matches the Rfam family "Bacterial small subunit ribosomal RNA", at positions 524 to 776 of the family's 1533-position model. The record is from RNAcentral.
UACAGAGGGGGCAAGCGUUGUUCGGAAUUACUGGGCGUAAAGGGCGCGUAGGCGGCCUGCUAAGUCGAACGUGAAAUCCCUGGGCUCAACCCAGGGACUGCGUCCGAUACUGGUUGGCUUGAAUCCGGGAGAGGGAUGUGGAAUUCCAGGUGUAGCGGUGAAAUGCGUAGAUAUCUGGAGGAACACCGGUGGCGAAGGCGACAUCCUGGACCGGUAUUGACGCUGAGGCGCGAAAGCCAGGGGAGCAAACGGG